Cynoglossus semilaevis (tongue sole) is the source of this 2074-nucleotide long non-coding RNA. RefSeq lists it as uncharacterized. The transcript is spliced from 3 exons. The record is from RefSeq and is a predicted model, not a curated record. NCBI's taxonomy places the organism in Eukaryota, Metazoa, Chordata, Actinopteri, Pleuronectiformes, Cynoglossidae.
CCAUGUUAAUGGAAUUAAAUUAUCGUUAGUUAAUUAUCGUGUUAGAAACAGAAACAACAGCUGUAUUUCUGCUUUCUUCAGAUCAUACUGACAUUAGACCUCAGGUUGAUGGUACGAGUCUGAUCUGCCUGAGAUUUUCCUCCGCAGCAGAACAUACACAACAUAACUAAGACCUUCUCUUCCUGUGCAAACACAGUUUCACUUCCAGCGAGUCUCACAGCGGCAGGUGCAGAAAUUAAUUAAGGAAAUGUGCAUGGCUGUGCCUCAGAUGGUGGAGCUCCUUCACCAUUAAUCAUGGGGUUAGUGGUUUGAAUCCUGGCUCCUCCUGACCACAUGUCAAACAACCUUGAGCAGCACAUUAUUCCCUGAAAAUGGCUCAUGAUGGUGUGUGUGUGUGUGUGUGUGUGUGUGUGUGUGUGCUCAUACCUAUACUGGUGAAUGAGAAGCAUUUUUAAGCAACUAAAUCCUACACAUGAACCUGCCUUCACUGCUGUGUCCCACUGUCCAGUGUUCGGAGUAGAAUUCAGCUGAGAUGUGCAGUCAGUCGUAGAUCAAUGUUUUCUUGUUUUAUUGACAGUUAUUCUCUCAACUGCUAUGCAAACAAAAAGUUAAUCAGUAAUAUUGUGUUCUACUGCAGGGAGGUCACCCACUGAGGCACUGACAGUGAUGGAAGGCCAAAGAGAACCAGAACCAAAAAGAAAAGAUGAAGAAGACGCAGGAGUGGGCUGAGGGGUGGCACUGGUUGGAGGAGAUAAAUUCUGGUGUUGAGCGUCUGCAGUUGGGUGCAGGAGUCCUGCAGGAUGAGCGAGUGUCGGUGAAGCGCUUCCAGCUGCUCUUUCAGAUGCUCGCACAUCUCCUGGGACUGGGACAACCGUGACAGCAAAGCCUCCUGUCCUGCUACAGCCACUGCUCUCUAAAGGCCUUUCUGUUUGCCUGACAACCUGCCAGCCUGAAUGCAGUCCUGGGGAUUGUGAGUCUGUUUAUUUAUUAAAUAUUCCAUGCUGCACAAACCUGCCUUGUCUUAGAGUCUGCAUCUGAGCCCCUGUAAACCAUAACCUCAACCCUUCUCCUCCUCCUUUCCCUCUGCACUCUCUGGGUCUGUGGAUACAGACAGCCGCCCACAAACAUCCUAAUUCUGCUGGAGGUGUCUUCCUGUUAAAAGGACUUUUUUCCCCUCUUUUUCCCUGAGUUGUGAAGCGACUGCUCAUGGGGAAAAGCUGGGUUUGGGUAAACAAAUUGUAGAGAAUGAUGUCCAGACCCUCCUGACAUUCUACAGCUACUGUAGUGAUUCAGCAGUGUAUAAAUAAAACUGAAUUCGUUUGGACAUAAAUGUCUUGGGUCCCUACACCUAUUUUAAACUGCUAAACCUGUAUUUAACCCAGGUCCUUGCAGGGUUUUGGAGCAGAAUACAGUUAUUUUGAUAACUAUAUAUAUUGCACAUUUUAAAUAUGUUGGCUGCAAAAAAGGAGGACAAAUCUCAACCAUUAGUGUCUUUAAACACAUCUUUUUAGUAGGUCAGUAGAUUAGCAGAUCCUCAGCAGAAGAUGGAUCUGGUUUUAAAAAAAAAGAACGAAAAUACGACAGAAGAUAAGGCCAAUGCUUAUGUAUGACUUUCUCUGAAUGGGGGAUAUUCAUGAAAACCUUUUAUGCUAUUUAUUUGAUGCUGACUUAGCAUCGCUCUUCUCCUUAGCUUGCAGUUUCCAUGCUGUCUCACACUUUUACUGUUACAACCCCAUUAAACACCGCAUUUACAGAGACCUGUACACCCUGCACCGGAGUAUAAUGUGAUUAAGUGUGACAUGGUUUGGGUGUCACUAAAUAAUUUGCGUCUUAUAUAAAAGUAUGAGAAUAAUUAUGUAAAUUCAAGGUUUAAAAACAAAACUCUGCACUGGCUGUCUGAAGGCCUGCUGUUGAGACAAAACAGGAGUAGUCACAGAAUAUUGACACUGCCAGAAAAAUAAGAUUAAUGAUACAUGUUACAUCAUAACAAAGUUUUUACUGCCCUUUGUCUAAUGUACUGUAAUACAUCUCUCCCUGCAAUGCUGCGGGUCAGUUCAUGUUCAGUACUGUAUGA